Long non-coding RNA from Sapajus apella (tufted capuchin), 1233 nucleotides. RefSeq lists it as uncharacterized. The transcript has 3 exons. The record is from RefSeq and is a predicted model, not a curated record. NCBI's taxonomy places the organism in Eukaryota, Metazoa, Chordata, Mammalia, Primates, Cebidae.
AAAGCCCUCGACGCCGCCGAUUCCGCUACUAGGCGCUUGCGCAAGGGGGUGGAGUUUCUUCCCGCUGCCUUGACCUGCUAGAAGAGCCGUUACCGGAACGGAGCCCGGGGAUGAUCUGAAAAAACUGGGUGAACUGUAAGGUUAAGGGCCCAACACGGUUUCCAGGAAAGAAGCUAGCUCAGAGACGGAAAAACCUCAGGAACCUGGUGAAUUAUUGAGAGGGAAUUGGGAUAAGCCAUUCUGCCCUCCACCCCUUUCCUCAGGGUACAGCUGGAAUUGAGGUCUCAGUUUCUUCAGUCUUUAGAAUGAAAGAUUUGGACUUGAUCAAUGAGGAGCAACCGAAGGUUUACAAAUCAAGUGACUUUUCAAUUAACAUCUGGUUAUUCAGGGUCUUCCCUGCCAAUCCAUUCACUUCUCAAUAAUUUUACCUCUUCCAUAAGGUUAUAUCUAAGGUCACAGAACCAAGAUUUGCUGACUUGUCAAGAUGUGCCUUUCUGUGUGCACAUGUACAGAUGGUAGCAUCUGGUUUUUGCUUAUUGUUUACACAGGUUGGCAUUCACCAAGAGGUGCAGCCUCCCAUUCUGCCCUUGGCCAGCAGCCCAGGCAAGAUCCUAUGAGUCAUUCUUCGUUCCCAUCCACAGGGUCUCUUUGGGUCCAAUAGCUCUUUGUUUCCACAACUAUGUCACUUAUGGGUACAAAAAGAAAAUAUGCAGCUUCCCCUGACACCUUGGAGUACAGGGAAACUCAGUAAACCUCUCUCAUGGUCACUAAUCUAGACACUAUGCAGCUGCUUCUGCCCCCAGAGGGUCUGUCACCAACUGCUUUCUCCUUGAGAAAGGAGACCAUAGGCACAUGUUGAGAUAGGCACACGUUGCUCCUAAAUCCCUGAACCUAUUUGCCUUAGAUUUCUCCUGUUCCCUCCCUCCCCUUCCUAUUUCUUGGCGUUGGAAGAGGGGUUGUUGGAUCCUCUUCUCAGACUCCAUUUGCAUCUAGAACUCUUUGCUUCUGACUUUUCCUCCUCUUCGCCCCAGAGUAACCUUCAUACUCAUUCCUUUGUAUCUCUUGUUUUAUGUGACAGAGCAAUGCAGUGUAGGGGGUAAUCACUCAGGCUGCCACUCUUAUGUCCUGUGACAAUAGCAAAGCUGCAUAAUAUAGUGUGCCUCAGUUUCAUCAUAUGUAAAAUGGGGUUAAUAAUAGCACCCACCUGUAUUAGUUUUUGUUUGUUUUUUUUUU